This is a long non-coding RNA of Lycium barbarum (goji berry), 824 nucleotides long. RefSeq lists it as uncharacterized. The record is from RefSeq and is a predicted model, not a curated record. The transcript has 2 exons. NCBI's taxonomy places the organism in Eukaryota, Viridiplantae, Streptophyta, Magnoliopsida, Solanales, Solanaceae.
ACCCUUUUACAUUUUAUUUCAUACCAAACACACCCCUUUACCCCUCUCUCCCCUCUCCUCUCCAUUAAACCUAACCCUAGCGCCGCCUUUUCCCCCCUUUCCCUCUCUCCUCGCUGGAUUGCCAAAAAUGGCAUCAAUUCAGAGAGGUUAGACGUGUAUCAGCCUUAACACAACCAAAUCAGUGCAACAUUUAAAGUUUCGUGGUCGUUUUCUUCCAAUUUCUACUAAACAACACCUACGAUGGCUUAACAGGCAAUUCUUUUGAGUCAUGGUCGAGCCCAGCGAAGAAAUGGAAGCUAAUAUAUAUAUUAAACGCGUGGAAGGCCCAGCCAUGGGUGAAAAUAUCUCUACCAGUGAAGCCCACUAGCAUAUAAUCGAAUGCCUUAAUUGGAUAACUUAUAUAUAUAUAUGUGUGUGUGUGUGUGUGUGUGCGCGCGCGCGCGCGCGCGAGUUAUACACGUGAUAAGUUCAGUAAAUAUAAACUAACCGGGGUCCUUUGUUUCUUUUCUCCUCCACCACUGCAUGGCCAUUUGGGCCGAGUCACGUUCCAACCUGUUGGGUCAAGGCUUAACAGGCAAUUCUUUUGAGUCAUGGUCGAGCCCAGCGAAGAAAUGGAAGCUAAUAUAUAUAUUAAACGCGUGGAAGGCCCAGCCAUGGGUGAAAAUGGUCAACUAGGGGCUUGGUACACCCCUAGCCUACCCUUAACUCUAUUUAUUUGCUUAAGUUAUACUUUUCCUUUAGUUGUAAAGUUGUUGUAUUUAUACUUCUAAAAAUCUGUAAAAAAAACUCAUAUAUUGUUGGAAUUUUACGGUUUGAACUAGUCA